RNAcentral lists this ribosomal RNA (796 nucleotides) under uncultured Pelagibacteraceae bacterium. RNAcentral describes it as "bacterial SSU rRNA". It matches the Rfam family "Bacterial small subunit ribosomal RNA", at positions 33 to 877 of the family's 1533-position model. Lineage: Bacteria; Pseudomonadati; Pseudomonadota; Alphaproteobacteria; Candidatus Pelagibacterales; Candidatus Pelagibacteraceae. The record is from RNAcentral.
ACGCUGGCGGCACGCCUAACACAUGCAAGUCGAACGAAGUAGCAAUACUUAGUGGCAGACGGGUGAGUAACAUGUAGGUAUCUACCCUAUGGCCUGGAAUAACACGAGGAAACUUGUGCUAAUACCGGAUAAGUCUUUACGGAGAAAGCUUUAUGCACCAUUGGAUGAGCCUGCACUUGAUUAGUUUGUUGGUAGGGUAAUGGCCUACCAAGACUAUGAUCAAUAGCUGAUUUGAGAGGAUGAUCAGCCACAUUGGGACUGAGACACGGCCCAAACUCCUACGGGAGGCAGCAGUGGGGAAUCUUGCACAAUGGAGGAAACUCUGAUGCAGCGAUGCCGCGUGAGUGAAGAAGGCCCUUGGGUUGUAAAGCUCUUUCGUCGGGGAAGAAAAUGACUGUACCCGAAUAAGAAGGUCCGGCUAACUUCGUGCCAGCAGCCGCGGUAAUACGAAGGGACCUAGCGUAGUUCGGAAUUACUGGGCUUAAAGAGUUCGUAGGUGGUUGAAAAAGUUGGUGGUGAAAUCCCAGAGCUUAACUCUGGAACUGCCAUCAAAACUUUUCAGCUAGAGUUUGAUAGAGGAAAGCAGAAUUUCUAGUGUAGAGGUGAAAUUCGUAGAUAUUAGAAAGAAUACCAAUUGCGAAGGCAGCUUUCUGGAUCAAUACUGACACUGAGGAACGAAAGCAUGGGUAGCGAAGAGGAUUAGAUACCCUCGUAGUCCAUGCCGUAAACGAUGUGUGUUAGACGUUGGAAAUUUAUUUUCAGUGUCGCAGCGAAAGCGAUAAACACACCGCCUGGG